RNAcentral lists this ribosomal RNA (208 nucleotides) under uncultured bacterium. Its description in RNAcentral is "partial 16S ribosomal RNA". It matches the Rfam family "Bacterial small subunit ribosomal RNA", at positions 568 to 775 of the family's 1533-position model. The record is from RNAcentral.
CGCGUAGGCGGCUUGUUAAGUCUGGAGUGGAAGUCCUCUUUUUAAGGGAGGAAUUGCUUUGGAAACUGGCGAGCUUGAGUGCAGGGGAGGUUAUCGGAAUUCCCGGUGUAGCGGUGAAAUGCGUAGAGAUCGGGAGGAACACCAGUGGCGAAGGCGGGUAACUGGACUGCAACUGACGCUGAGGCGCGAAAGUGUGGGGAGCAAACAG